Drosophila takahashii is the source of this 286-nucleotide non-coding RNA. NCBI's taxonomy places the organism in Eukaryota, Metazoa, Arthropoda, Insecta, Diptera, Drosophilidae. The record is from RefSeq and is a predicted model, not a curated record.
UACUUCUAUCCAUCCCCCCCGUGUGCUUUAAGUGAAAUCUAAUUUGGAAUUUAUUUCGUUCGUGUCCAGCUGUAAGAAUAAAGUGAUUGAAAUCCCGAUCCCGCUCAACUUGGAUGCCCGAAAAUAAGGCAACGACGAGGUCAACACCCAAUGGUCAUUGAUUUCUCAUUGUUUUCGAUCGCAUUUAUUAGCGGUAAACUUGAAAGGAAAACAUUGGCUAGUGUGUAUUAUAUAAGAGUACAAAUGGUAUAUGUUUGUUCAUAAAAUUCUCAACUACAGGCUAAAA